AGUGAACGCUUGCGGCGUGCUUAACACAUGCAAGUCGAACGAGAACGGGUUAUCGCUUGCUAUAAUUGUCAGCUAAGUGGCGCACGGGUGAGUAAGGUAUAGGAAAUAUGCCUCUUAUUCAGGGAUACCAAAAGGAAACGUUUGCUAAUACCUUAUACUCGUUAUUAACAUUAGUUAAUAAGGUAAAGAUUUAUUGGUAAGGGAUUAGCCUGUAUUGUAUCAGUUAGUUGGUGGGGUAAUGGCUUACCAAGACGAUGACACAUAACUGGUUUGAGAGCAUGAUCAGUCACACUGGUACUGAGACACGGUCCAGACUCCUACGGGAGGCAGCAGUGGGGAAUAUUGCACAAUGGACGAAAGUCUGAUGCAGCAACGCCGCGUGGAGGAUGACACAUUUCGGUGCGUAAACUCCUUUUAUAUGAGAAGAUAAUGACGGUAUUAUAUGAAUAAGCACCGGCUAACUCCGUGCCAGCCGCCGCAGUAA
Molecule: ribosomal RNA, 484 nt
Filed under: uncultured bacterium
Lineage: Bacteria
Description: partial 16S ribosomal RNA
Rfam family: Bacterial small subunit ribosomal RNA
Source: RNAcentral